This 1467-nucleotide ribosomal RNA is filed under the name uncultured Bordetella sp. Its description in RNAcentral is "partial 16S-23S ribosomal RNA intergenic spacer". It matches the Rfam family "Bacterial small subunit ribosomal RNA". Lineage: Bacteria; Pseudomonadati; Pseudomonadota; Betaproteobacteria; Burkholderiales; Alcaligenaceae. The record is from RNAcentral.
AGUUUGAUUAUGGUUCGAUGUAUUGAACGCUGGCGGGAUGCUUUACACUACGCAAGUCGAACGGCAGCACGGACUUCGGUCUGGUGGCGAGGGCGAACGGGUGAGUAAUGUAUCGGAACGUGCCUAGUAGCGGGGGAUAACUACGCGAAAGCGUAGCUAAUACCGCAUGCCCUUCGGGGGAAAGCGGGGGACCUUCAGCCUCGCACUAUUAGAGCGGCCGAUAUCGGAUUUAGUUGGUGGGGUAACGGCUCACCAAGGCGACGAUCCGUAGCUGGUUUGAGAGGACGACCAGCCACACUGGGACUGAGACACGGCCCAGACUCCUACGGGAGGCAGCAGUGGGGAAUUUUGGACAAUGGGGGAACCCGAUCCAGCCAUCCCGCGUACAUAAUACCCUCGGGUUGUAAAGCACUUUUGGCAUAGAAAGAAACGGCACGGGAUAAUACCCGUGCAACGGCGACGGUACCUGCAGAAUAAGCACCGGCUAACUACGUGCCAGCAGCCGCGGUAAUACGCGGGUGCAAGCGUUAAUCGAAUUACUGGGCGUAAAGCGUGCAGGCGGUUCGGAAAGAAAGAUGUGAAAUCCCAGAGCUUAACUUUGAACUGCAUUUUUAAUCACCGAGCUAGAGUGGUAGUCAGAGGAGGUGGAAUUCGCGUGUAGCAGUGAAAUGCGUAGAUAUGCGGAGUGGAACACCGACAUAUAAGCAGCCUUCUGGGAUAACACUGACGCUCAUGCACGAAAGCGUGGGGAGCAAACAGGAUUAGAUACCCUGGUAGUCCACGCCCCCAAACGAUGUCAACUAUUGCUAAACUGGGCCUGGUAGCGCAGCUAACGCGUGAAGUUGACCCGCCUGGGGAGUACGGUCGCAAGAUUAAAACUCAAAGGAAUUGACGGGGACCUGCACAAGCGGUGGAUGAUGUGGAUUAAUUCGAUGCAGCAACGCGAAACCUUACCUACCCUUGACAUGUCUGGAAUCCCUGAAGAGAUUUGGGAGUGCUCGCAAGAGAACCGGAACACAGGUGCUGUAGCUGGUCGUCAGCUCGUGUCGUGAGAUGCUGGUUAAGUCCCGCAACGAGCGCAACCCUUGUCAUUAUUGCUACGAAAGGGCACUCUAAUGAGACUGCCGGUGACAAACUGAGGAAGGUGGGAUGACGUCAAGUCCUCAUGGUCUUGCGGUAGGGUGGUUUCACACGUCAUACAAUGGUCGGGACAGAGGGUCGCCAACCCGCGAGGGGGAGCCAAUCCCAGAAACCUGACUGUCCGGAUCGGCAGUGUCUGCAACUCGACUGGGUGAAGUCGGAAUCGCUAGUAAUCGCGGAUCAGCAUGUCGCGGUGAAUACGUUCCGGGUCUUGUACACACCGCCUGUCACACCAUGGGAGUGGGUUUUACCAGAAGUAGUUAGCCUAACCGUAAGGAGGUGAUUACCACGGUAGGAUUCAUGACUGGGUGAAGUCGUAACAAGGUA